AAACAGGCUGCAAAAGCGUGUUACUUGCUUGUAGUCAAACAGAAGGCAGAGCUGCGAAUCAAAUCCAGGUUUGUCUCGACAUGCCACUAGCUCGUACUUCUCUUGGAUCAGCCACUAAAUGGCUUUCACUCCAGAGAGCAGCGAGCAGCACCAGAAUUAUGGAACAUUUAUCAACAGCCUAAAAUAAAGACAACACUACGAGAAUUUGGUUGCCUACACAGAUUCAAGAUACAAUCCUGCUGGAUUCUGGACGAGAUAUCAGAGUGUGCAUGCACAGAAGUACAACCAUGUGAAGAGGUAGCAAGAGAGCAGCAAUCUACAAGCCAAGGAAAGAGGCCACAGAGGAAACCAAUCCCGCCAGCAUCUUGAUCUUGGACUUCCAGCUUCUAGAACUAACCAGGGACCACACUCACAUGCUGGCAGUAUGGGCUUCUGUCUUCAGGACCAUUGCAAGGCUGCACGAAAACUUAGAGGCAUCAUCCUGCCUUGGCUUCUGGUUGCCAAGGUGUUCUGCCUGAUACCAACUCUGUCAGCAGUCAAACUAACCAUGCUUUUCCCUUGGAGGCACAUGUAGAUUGCCUAACUACCCUCACCAGGCAAACAAUUCUGCAUAUGUCAUGUCCUCUGCUUUUCUUUUCAGAUCCAGCCUUAGUCAAGCUUGUGAAACAAUGACUGUCUUAAUUGGUCCCCUGGGUACCCAGACCUAAUCCUUUACCAAGUCACUAGUUAUCCCGUGUUCCCUAUCUGUCUAUCCAUCCAUCCUUCAUCAUCAUCCAAUACUUACAGAAUGCCUAUGGUUGCAAAUACAAGAAUGACUGCUUGGUUCCUGCUGUCCGUAAACUCACAGCCUGGGAUAAGUGUCCUUCAUGGUUCAUUCAUAUUUCACAAGCCCCAUGAAGUCUAUCUGGAUUUUCGAUGGAUGUCUUGCCUUUUCCUCUACACACUACAGGAAGAGUGACCACCCCUGCCAAGGGCCUAGUAUAGUACCCUAUACAUGUAGCUGAUCAGUUGAUUGUUACUGAUCAUGCAUCAUGUUAUCAAAAACUAACACGAUGCUUGGCA
Piliocolobus tephrosceles (Ugandan red Colobus) is the source of this 1062-nucleotide long non-coding RNA. RefSeq lists it as uncharacterized. Lineage: Eukaryota; Metazoa; Chordata; Mammalia; Primates; Cercopithecidae. The record is from RefSeq and is a predicted model, not a curated record. The transcript has 7 exons.